AGUUUAAACCCUAACAAACAUUGUAAUCGGGGCUCUUGAGCCUCUUGCCCAAGCCUGCUUGUGCUUUAUAGAGUGUACUUUCACUUAAAUAAAUCUGUGCUUGUAUUGCUUAUGGCGUUGCUUCAUUCUUUUGUCACUUUGUGCAUUUUGUGUUGCUCUGUUUGUGCACUUUGUUCAAUUCUUUGUUCAACGUGCCAAAAACCUGGAAAACUCAUAGUCAAGACUUUCCAUCUGGUGGAAACCUCUCGGUGUUCAGUCAAGAAGCCAUUGGAGGAUCACUUAGGAAAGGAUCAAGAGCCCUGAUGUUGUCUGAAGCUUUCCGUGGAUAUCUUACGGUAGGAGCAAGAAUGCACUGAAAUUGGUUUAGAUGCUUUCAGGUGGCUCACACUGUUAAAGAAUGUCUUUCCCCAGCUGAAGCCCAAACCCACCUGGUCUCACCCCUUGGAGACACACAGGCAGACCUAACUCUCAGCUAAGCCAGAGGUUCUCAACCCAGACUGCACAUUAAAAUAAAUUAGCAAGUUUUACAUCACAUGUUCUCACUUAUUUGUGGGAUCUAAAAAUCAAAACGAUUGAACUCAUGGACAUAGAGAGUAGAAGGAUGGUUACCACAGGCUGGAAAGGGUACUAGGGACCUGAGAGGGAGGUGGGGUUGGUUAAUUGGCACAAAAAAGAAUAGUUACAAGGAAUGAAUAAGACCUACUAUUUGAUAGCACAACAGGUGACUAUAGUCAAUAACUUAAUUGUACAUUUAAAAAUAACUAAAAGAGUGUAAUUGAAUUGUUUGUAACACACAGGAUAAAUGCUUGAGGGAACAGAUACCCCAUUCUCCAUAAUGUGAUUAUUUCACAUUGCAUGCCUGUAUCAAAACAUCUCAUGGCUAGGUGCGGUGGCCUUAGCGAAAACAGUGCGAAGGAAGCAGUGUCACAACGCUCAUGAUCGCACAUCAGUGGUUCUUAUCCUGAUGACAGGGGCAGGGCCUGAGCUUUUUAGAAAGUUCCUGAGGCGAUUCUAACGUGCAGCCAGAGGUGAGAAAC
Molecule: long non-coding RNA, 1037 nt
Filed under: Homo sapiens (human)
Lineage: Eukaryota; Metazoa; Chordata; Mammalia; Primates; Hominidae
Description: HSALNT0223441
Source: RNAcentral